AGAGUUUGAUCAUGGCUCAGAUUGAACGCUGGCGGCAGGCCUAACACAUGCAAGUCGAGCGGAAACGAAGAGGUGCUUGCACCUUUGGCGUCGAGCGGCGGACGGGUGAGUAAUGCUUGGGAAUAUGCCUUAUGGUGGGGGACAACAGUUGGAAACGACUGCUAAUACCGCAUGAUGUCUACGGACCAAAGUGGGGGACCUUCGGGCCUCACGCCAUAAGAUUAGCCCAAGUGGGAUUAGCUAGUUGGUGAGGUAAUGGCUCACCAAGGCGACGAUCCCUAGCUGGUUUGAGAGGAUGAUCAGCCACACUGGGACUGAGACACGGCCCAGACUCCUACGGGAGGCAGCAGUGGGGAAUAUUGCACAAUGGGCGCAAGCCUGAUGCAGCCAUGCCGCGUGUGUGAAGAAGGCCUUCGGGUUGUAAAGCACUUUCAGUAAGGAGGAAAGGUUAAGUGUUAAUAGCACUUAGCUGUGACGUUACUUACAGAAGAACACCGGCUAACUCCGUGCCAGCAGCCGCGGUAAUACGGAGGGUGCGAGCGUUAAUCGGAAUUACUGGGCGUAAAGCGUACGCAGGCGGUUCGUUAAGCGAGAUGUGAAAGCCCCGGGCUCAACCUGGGAACUGCAUUUCGAACUGGCAAACUAGAGUGUGAUAGAGGGUGGUAGAAUUUCAGGUGUAGCGGUGAAAUGCGUAGAGAUCUGAAGGAAUACCGAUGGCGAAGGCAGCCACCUGGGUCAACACUGACGCUCAUGUACGAAAGCGUGGGGAGCAAACAGGAUUAGAUACCCUGGUAGUCCACGCCGUAAACGAUGUCUACUAGAAGCUCGGGUCUUCGGACUUGUUUUUCAAAGCUAACGCAUUAAGUAGACCGCCUGGGGAGUACGGCCGCAAGGUUAAAACUCAAAUGAAUUGACGGGGGCCCGCACAAGCGGUGGAGCAUGUGGUUUAAUUCGAUGCAACGCGAAGAACCUUACCUACACUUGACAUACAGGGAACUUACCCAGAGAUGGUUUGGUGGCCUUCGGGAACUCUGAUACAGGUGCUGCAUGGCGUCGUCAGCUCGUGUUGUGAGAUGUUGGUUUAAGUCCCGCAACGAGCGCAACCCCUAUCCCUUAGUUGCCAGCGAUUCGGUCGGGAACUCUAAGGAGACUGCCGGUGAUAAACCGGAGGAAGGUGGGGACGACGUCAAGUCAUCAUGGCCCUUACGUGUAGGGCUACACACGUGCUACAAUGGCGCAUACAGAGUGCUGCGAACCUGCGAGGGUAAGCGAAUCACUUAAAGUGCGUCGUAGUCCGGAUUGGAGUCUGCAACUCGACUGCCAUGAAGUCGGAAUCGCUAGUAAUCGCGUAUCAGAAUGACGCGGUGAAUACGUUUCCCGGGCCUUGUACACACCGCCCGUCACACCAUGGGAGUGGGUUGCUCCAGAAGUGGAUAGUCUAACCUUCGG
RNAcentral lists this ribosomal RNA (1449 nucleotides) under Pseudoalteromonas sp. SB-A1. Its description in RNAcentral is "bacterial SSU rRNA". It matches the Rfam family "Bacterial small subunit ribosomal RNA". Lineage: Bacteria; Pseudomonadati; Pseudomonadota; Gammaproteobacteria; Alteromonadales; Pseudoalteromonadaceae. The record is from RNAcentral.